GAUGAACGCUGGCGGCGUGCUUAACACAUGCAAGUCGAACGAUAAGGCCCAGCUUGAAGCGUGGAGUAGUGGGCAUCGGGUGAGUAACACGUGAGUAACCUGCCCUUGACUCUGGGAUAAGCCUGGAAGACUGGGACUAAUACUGGCUAUUACUACUCCUCGCAUGGAGGGGGGUGGCAAGAUUUAUUGGUGUUGGAUGGACUCGCGGCCUAUCAGCUUGGUGGUGAGGUUAUGGCUCACCAAGGCGAAGAGGCGUCGCCGGCCUGAGAGGAUCACCGGCCACACUGGGACGGAGACGAGGCCCAGACCCCUACGGGAGGCAGCGGUGGAGAAGAUUGCACAAUGGGCGCAAGCCUGAUGCAGCGACGCCGCGCGAGGGAUGUCGGCCUUCGGGUUGUAAUCCUCUGUCAGUAGAGAAGAAGCGAGAGUGACGGUACCUGCAGAAGAAGCGCCGGCUAACUACGUG
RNAcentral lists this ribosomal RNA (466 nucleotides) under uncultured bacterium. RNAcentral describes it as "partial 16S ribosomal RNA". It matches the Rfam family "Bacterial small subunit ribosomal RNA", at positions 28 to 507 of the family's 1533-position model. The record is from RNAcentral.